UGAGAAUCCCACAGGCCGUAAACCCAAGGUUUCCAGGGGAAGGUUCGUCCGCCCUGGGUUAGUCGGGACCUAAGCUGAGGCCGAAAGGCGUAGGUGAUGGACAACAGGUUGAUAUUCCUGUACUACCGAUAACCGUUUGAGAGAUGGGAUGACACAGUAGGAUAAGCUAAGCACACUGUUGGUUAUGUGUGCCCAAGCAUUGAGGCAGUCAGAGUAGGUAAAUCCGCUUUGAUAAUGCUGGGAUG
This 245-nucleotide ribosomal RNA is filed under the name Clostridioides difficile. RNAcentral describes it as "partial 23S ribosomal RNA". It matches the Rfam family "Bacterial large subunit ribosomal RNA", at positions 1322 to 1563 of the family's 2925-position model. The record is from RNAcentral. Lineage: Bacteria; Bacillati; Bacillota; Clostridia; Peptostreptococcales; Peptostreptococcaceae.